Non-coding RNA from Hydra vulgaris (swiftwater hydra), 400 nucleotides. Lineage: Eukaryota; Metazoa; Cnidaria; Hydrozoa; Anthoathecata; Hydridae. The record is from RefSeq and is a predicted model, not a curated record.
UAGAUAUAUUCUUUAUUAUAUGUUCUUUAUUAUAUAAUGUGUUUAAAACAUUUUUAAAUUGAAUGAAUAUUCUUAGAUCAUGAGUUAUGUAAUAAAUUUGAAUUUGCCUCUACUAGUGAUACUCAGAUAAAAUCAGGUUCAGAAAACGGUUAACAAACUUUCUAAAAUUGGAGGUAAAACCAUUAAGACAAAUACAAAUAAAUGUGAUGCAAAGUGUAUGACAGCAUGCAACCUUAAUCAAACUUUGAACCUGACAAAGUGUCUCAUAACUUGUAAAAAUUAUAAUUUGUGUGAACUUGGUUGUUUUUUCUACAGUCAUAUUAAAGAAAAUGACACUGGUUGUUGACUAACGGUUUAUAAUCAAAAUUUAAUAUGGCUGGCGGUAAAGGUAAAGAGAAGU